RNAcentral lists this ribosomal RNA (254 nucleotides) under uncultured bacterium. RNAcentral's name for it is "partial 16S ribosomal RNA". It matches the Rfam family "Bacterial small subunit ribosomal RNA", at positions 524 to 776 of the family's 1533-position model. The record is from RNAcentral.
UACGAAGGGGGCUAGCGUUGCUCGGAAUUACUGGGCGUAAAGGGCGCGUAGGCGGUCAGCACAAGUCAGUUGUGAAAUCUCCGGGCUUAACUCGGAACGGUCAAGUGAUACUGUCGCGCUAGAGUGCGGAAGGGGCAAUCAGAAUUCUUGGUGUAGCGGUGAAAUGCGUAGAUAUCAAGAGGAAUACCUGAGGUGAAGACGGGUUGCUAGGCCGACACUGACGCUGAAGCGCGAAAGCCAGGGGAGCAAACGGG